GUAACGGCAAGUGAAGCGGUAACAGCUCAAAUUUGAAAUCUGGCUCCUCGGGGCCCGAAUUGUAAUUUGUAGAAGAUGCUUUGGGUCUGGGCCUGGCCUAAGUUCCUUGGAACAGGACGUCGUAGAGGGUGAGAAUCCCGUAUGCGGCUGGCGCCCGUGCCCGUGUAAAGCUCUUUCAACGAGUCGAGUUGUUUGGGAAUGCAGCUCUAAAUGGGUGGUAAAUUUCAUCUAAAGCUAAAUAUUGGCCAGAGACCGAUAGCGCACAAGUAGAGUGAUCGAAAGAUGAAAAGCACUUUGGAAAGAGAGUUAAACAGUACGUGAAAUUGUUGAAAGGGAAGCGCUGGCAACCAGACUUGGGCGCUGUUGAUCCGCUAGGGUUCUCUCUAGGGCACUCGGCAGUGCGCAGGCCAGCAUCGGUUUGGGGGGUUGGAGAAUGGCUGGUGGAAUGUGGCUGUCUUUGGGCAGUGUUAUAGCC
This 475-nucleotide ribosomal RNA is filed under the name Podosphaera xanthii. RNAcentral's name for it is "eukaryotic LSU rRNA". It matches the Rfam family "Eukaryotic large subunit ribosomal RNA", at positions 83 to 563 of the family's 3401-position model. The record is from RNAcentral. Lineage: Eukaryota; Fungi; Ascomycota; Leotiomycetes; Helotiales; Erysiphaceae.